GACGAACGCUGGCGGCGUGCCUAAUACAUGCAAGUAGAACGCACAGUUUAUACCGUAGCUUGCUACACCAUAGACUGUGAGUUGCGAACGGGUGAGUAACGCGUAGGUAACCUGCCUGGUAGCGGGGGAUAACUAUUGGAAACGAUAGCUAAUACCGCAUAAUAUUAAUUAUUGCAUGAUAAUUAAUUGAAAGGUGCAAUUGCACCACUACCAGAUGGACCUGCGUUGUAUUAGCCAGUAGGUGAGGUAACGGCUCACCUAGGCGACGAUACAUAGCCGACCUGAGAGGGUGAUCGGCCACACUGGGACUGAGACACGGCCCAGACUCCUACGGGAGGCAGCAGUAGGGAAUCUUCGGCAAUAGACGAAAGUCUGACCGAGCAACGCCGCGUGAGUGAAGAAGGUUUUCGGAUCGUAAAGCUCUGUUGUAAGAGAAGAACGGGUGUGAGAGUGGAAAGUUCACACUGUGACGGUAUCUUACCAGAAAGGGACGGCUAACUACGUG
RNAcentral lists this ribosomal RNA (505 nucleotides) under uncultured bacterium. RNAcentral's name for it is "partial 16S ribosomal RNA". It matches the Rfam family "Bacterial small subunit ribosomal RNA", at positions 28 to 507 of the family's 1533-position model. The record is from RNAcentral.